GUCUGCGGCCACGCCACAAGCCCGAUGUCUGAUCUUGGAGGCUAAGCAGGGUCGGGCCUGGUUAGUACUCGGAUGGGAGACCACCAAAGAAGACCAGGUGCUGUAGGCA
RNAcentral lists this ribosomal RNA (109 nucleotides) under Pteropus alecto (black flying fox). The record is from RNAcentral. Lineage: Eukaryota; Metazoa; Chordata; Mammalia; Chiroptera; Pteropodidae.